GUGAAUCAUCGAAUCUUUGAACGCAAAUUGCACUCUCCUCGGAGAGUAUGCCUGUUUGAGGGUCAGACUAUAAAAAAUCGACAUCGUUGCUGUUUUGUGGUGGCGUUAGUCGGAAAUUGGGUCAUCUUAAAUCAUUUUGGUUUUUAAGUGACUUAAAAUUUUCUGUUUGGUUCCAUGAACGUUUCUAAGAUUUAUUUCUUUACACGUUUAAGGUAUCGAUUUUUAUUAGAUGUGACCAUCAUAUCGGAUCGCGUCAAUAAUUUUUCAUUACUU
RNAcentral lists this unclassified non-coding RNA (273 nucleotides) under Glomeraceae sp. Its description in RNAcentral is "partial contains 5.8S ribosomal RNA and internal transcribed spacer 2". The stretch from base 1 to 65 matches the Rfam family "5.8S ribosomal RNA", at positions 84 to 154 of the family's 154-position model. The record is from RNAcentral. Lineage: Eukaryota; Fungi; Glomeromycota; Glomeromycetes; Glomerales; Glomeraceae.